CUUUUUAAUUGAAAGCUGGAAUGAAAGAUGUGACGAGAAGAUAACUGUCUUGGUUUAUUAGAAAUAAAUUGACUAAGAGGUAAAAAGGCUUCUAUGAUUUUAAGGGACGAUAAGACCCUAUAAAGCUUUAUUUAUAACUGCUGGUUUAUUUAAAGGAAAAAACGAGUAUUUAUAAAUUUUGCUGGGGCGGCAAGUAAUUAAACUUUACUGAUUGUAACACCUUGGGUGUAUUUGAUUUAGCGUUGUUUCAAACAUAAAAAACAAGUUACUUUAGGGAUAACAGCACAAUUUUCUUAUAGAGUCCUUAUCGACAAGAAAGAUUGUGACCUCGAUGUUGAAUUGAGUUACUUUUGCUAAGCAACCAUAGCAAAUAGAAGUCUGUUCGACUUUUAAUUACUC
Molecule: ribosomal RNA, 399 nt
Filed under: Tylos europaeus
Lineage: Eukaryota; Metazoa; Arthropoda; Malacostraca; Isopoda; Tylidae
Description: partial 16S large subunit ribosomal RNA
Rfam family: Archaeal large subunit ribosomal RNA
Source: RNAcentral